GCUGGCGGCGCGCCUAAUACAUGCAAGUCGAGCGAGAAAUCCGGGGCUUGCCCCGGGUGGACAGCGGCGAACGGGUGAGGAACACGUGAGAAACCUGCCCCGAAGACCGGGAUAACACCGGGAAACCGGUGCUAAUACCGGAUGUCCUCACCGGAUCGCAUGAUCCGGUGAGGAAAUGGAUUCCGCUUCGGGAUGGUCUCGCGGCCUAUCAGCUUGUUGGUGGGGUAACGGCCUACCAAGGCUUCGACGGGUAGCUGGUCUGAGAGGAUGUCCAGCCACACUGGGACUGAGACACGGCCCAGACUCCUACGGGAGGCAGCAGUAGGGAAUCUUGCGCAAUGGGCGAAAGCCUGACGCAGCGACGCCGCGUGCGGGAUGAAGGCCUUCGGGUUGUAAACCGCUUUCAGCAGG
Molecule: ribosomal RNA, 411 nt
Filed under: uncultured soil bacterium
Lineage: Bacteria
Description: bacterial SSU rRNA
Rfam family: Bacterial small subunit ribosomal RNA
Source: RNAcentral